GCGGUACCGGUUCCCGCCCGCGAGGGCGACCCGGCGACU
Molecule: non-coding RNA, 39 nt
Filed under: unclassified sequences
Description: L31-Actinobacteria ribosomal protein leader
Rfam family: L31-Actinobacteria ribosomal protein leader
Source: RNAcentral